This 253-nucleotide ribosomal RNA is filed under the name uncultured bacterium. RNAcentral describes it as "partial 16S ribosomal RNA". It matches the Rfam family "Bacterial small subunit ribosomal RNA", at positions 524 to 776 of the family's 1533-position model. The record is from RNAcentral.
UACGUAGGAGGCAAGCGUUGUCCGGAAUUACUGGGCGUAAAGCGCGUGUAGGUGGUGGGACAAGUCUGCUGUGAAAGCGCCUGGCUUAACCGGGCGAGGUCGGCGGAAACUGUCCGACUUGAGGACGGUAGAGGGGGGUGGAAUUCCCGGUGUAGUGGUGAAAUGCGUAGAGAUCGGGAGGAACACCUGUGGCGAAGGCGGCCCCCUGGGCCGGCCCUGACACUGAGACGCGAAGGCGUGGGGAGCAAACGGG